GAAGUGCUGUUCGCUUGUUUACAUUCUUUCGCAUUAGGUAACGGCUCAAGCAAAACAAUGGCUGACAGUUAACCGGCUCCGUAUAAAAACCUCUUGAAACCGCUUUUACCUCUCCGCUGUCGGGCUGGACCACCAUGGCGUCCCCGCUGCUCGUGCUUCUGUGGCCGGGGCUGGUGCUGCCUUUCGCGGCGGCGGCUCCGACUCGUCCGUGGGUCGCCGUGGUGGAGGUGUACGCGGAGCAGCGGUUUAGCGGCACUCUUCUCCGCGGGGAGGUGGUGACCGCUAGCCGAGGAAAGAGUAACGAGGGUCCCGACGAGGAACCGGAGAGCCUGGAGGGAGAACUAGUUCUGAUUAAGGACUCGGAGCCGCAGGUGAGCGGAGAUGACAAGGAGGAGGGGGAGCUUUGGAUCGGCGUGAUGCCCGUGGAGGACCACCAAGUGUCCGCCGGGAGCCGGCAGCAGGAGUCCUUCACCGAGGCUGUGGUCAGCAGGAUGAAGCGGGCAUUGGUGCUCGGAGCAUCCGCGCUCAUCAUCCUGGCUCUCAACCAAAACACAGUCAGAGAAAUGGAUCUGUCGCCGGUUCUUUCCAAACCUGUCAUCGUGAUCCAGACGUCGGAGAACGUCACCAGGCUCCUGGGAGCGUUGCUCAGGGGCCUCCAUGCGACUGCUAAGAUUACCUUCGGCAACAUCCUACCUGACAACCUGGGCGCCACACUGACACUGUGGUCGAGCUGCGGGCGCUCCAGAGGGGGGCGCUAUGGUGAGUGGCAGGGCGUCAUCUGCACGGGGGAGACCAACUCGCAGGUGCAGGUACAUAUAGCACGUAAAGUACCUGCAGCGGUUGUGGGACACUGUCCUAUGGGUGGCGCUUUUCCUCAGCACCGGUGUCAUCCUGCAGGCCCGCUGGCAGAACCACGACCGCCAGAUCCACGGCAACAUGGAGGACGUUCAGAAGACCAUCUCGUCCCUCCGGACCAAAACCUAUCGAAGGCCCAAAGUGAGGCGCGACGAGACAGACAACUGUGCAGUCUGUCUGGAGGCCUUUAACCACAACCAGUGUCUUCGUGUGUUGCCGUGCCGACACGAGUACCACCGGGACUGUGUGGACCCCUGGCUGUUGCUGCAUCACACCUGCCCACUGUGCAAGCGCAGCAUCCUCGGCACCAUCCGCAGUGAAAAUUAGUGGUCAUCGUGGGAACACUCCAAAUUAUUAUUAUUUUUUUUUACCCUUUUGUUAUAAGGACCUGGAUCAGAAACUGUUGCGUGUCCACAGGGAUUCUUCUGGGAAUUUUUCCCACAACCAGGACAGUGGUUUUGACACUGCUUUUUCAUCUGCCACCACGGAAAUCUCAGCAGGUAAAUUGGCACUGGCCGGUCCCAAAUUAUGUCAACACACUGUCAAAUUAAAAACAUCAACUGUGUUUUAAAACUGUAGAUUUUAAAAGUGUGAAUCAGGUUUGAGACCUUAUUCAAGUAUUUAUUCUAAGCAUUUUCAUGUGCUGUGGUUACAAAGUGCUAACAGAUCAGGUCCAUGUACAAAAACUGGUGAGUUGUGGUUUGUGACUUGAAGGCGCAAACUGGACGACAAGGUCAAUGCAAUAAACGUCUACUUCCAAGUGUUA
RNA transcript from Phyllopteryx taeniolatus (common seadragon), 1621 nucleotides. It is a transcript of the gene named ring finger protein 215, with no coding region annotated. The transcript has 10 exons. The record is from RefSeq and is a predicted model, not a curated record. Lineage: Eukaryota; Metazoa; Chordata; Actinopteri; Syngnathiformes; Syngnathidae.